UACGAAGGGGGCUAGCGUUGCUCGGAAUGACUGGGCGUAAAGGGCGCGUAGGCGGAUGGCACAGUCAGAUGUGAAAUUCCUGGGCUCAACCUGGGGGCUGCGUUUGAUACGUGCAGACUUGAGUUCGGAAGAGGGUCGUGGAAUUCCCAGUGUAGAGGUGAAAUUCGUAGAUAUUGGGAAGAACACCGGUGGCGAAGGCGGCGACCUGGUCCGAUACUGACGCUGAGGCGCGAAAGCGUGGGGAGCAAACAGG
Molecule: ribosomal RNA, 253 nt
Filed under: uncultured bacterium
Lineage: Bacteria
Description: partial 16S ribosomal RNA
Rfam family: Bacterial small subunit ribosomal RNA
Source: RNAcentral